AAGACCAAGAGUCCAAGACUAGAGACUAGAAUCAUCAGCUGAACACCAACACGGUGCCCAUGCUGCUGUCUAAAAAGAGGAUGUCCUCGUGUCCCACCUGUCCUUGAGUCCAGAGACCACAGCUCAUGACUUCAAGAUGGGGAGCCAUUUACCCUCUGCUGUCAUGGAAGAAUGAAGAACGCUGCCAAUCGCCAGAGGCCGACAUGUUUAUCAAGCUGAGUAUCUUGAAGUCUGACAUAAAAUCUGUGGCCUUUGGUAUAACCGAAAAACACUCUGUCAACACCACGGAGAGAGCACGCCCGAGGCACUGGCCUCUGCCCAAGGAGUGCAGAGGAAUGGACGAAAAAUUGACUCAAGUCCAAAAAUUACAAAAUGAGGGAAAGUCAAACUCGAGGCGAACAAACCUUUUCCAUCGAGUCUGGUUAACAUCUUGGGGAAGCAUCCAGCCCACAAGCUGGUCAGUGCUUAGGUGGAAAUACAAGUUUUUCUCCCUUUUGGAAAGCCACGUUGCUCCUGCUCUGAUGAAUACAUCAAUUAUAUUAAAACUGAGAGUGUCUGUCAGGGCAAUGUUAAAAGGUCCACUAUGUUACAGACUGCCCUCGUCAGAAACAAAACGUCCUUCAAAUGCCCACUUCUCCAUUGCUCCAUUGCUCUGGCCAAAUAGCUGGAGAGGGGAAACAUGUAAACUCUGGGGGGGAUGGGGGAGUAGUUUAAGAUGCACUUGUAUUCAUAGUGACCAGCAUAAUACCCUCCUCCUCCUUCUACAUCUUCUGUAAGAAAAGUAAUCAACCCCCCAAAAAGGUUGUCAAUGACUGCCCAAAAGCCAACAUCUGGAUGUUUGAAAAGACAAGCUUGAUUAGAGGGGGCUGAAAUACUCUGUCCUCAGCUUUUCCUUCAAGUCCUGGCUUCUGGGGUCCCAGGGAAGGCGUCUACAAUAGCCAGACCCCACAGUGCACCAGGAUCCAAGCUAAAACUGGAGACAGUCCACAGUCCUCACCACAGAGCCUGGAACCACAGGUCAACCUGUGCAUCCUCUCAUGGGCUCUGUUGCUUUAUGAGUCACUGGAACCCUCAACCUUGGCCUUGUCAUUUUCAUUCAUCGUGUGUGUGUGUGUGUGUGUGUGUGUGUGUGUGUGUGUGUGUGUGUGUUUGCAGAGACCCCUACCCCUGCCUCUCCCUGUAGUGUCUGUCCCCAAGACCCACCACCCUCAGCUGCUUACACUGGCAGACCGGCCUGAAAUGGGAGCGUCAGGAUCCUUGCUGCUAUGCACAUAGCCAACAUUCCAUAAGAUUUAUGUCACAAAAGCCUGUGGAAAUGACAGAUGGUGGGAAAGAGGGGCCAAGGAGGCAAGUAAAAAUAAUCCAACUCUGGUUUAACCAAGGGUGGCCCAGUCCCCGAACCUAGACAGUGAUGUGGUAGUUUCAGGGCCAUGGACUUAGCAAGAGAAAAAUAAAUAAACAAAGCAUGUGAGGUG
Peromyscus eremicus (cactus mouse) is the source of this 1475-nucleotide long non-coding RNA. RefSeq lists it as uncharacterized. NCBI's taxonomy places the organism in Eukaryota, Metazoa, Chordata, Mammalia, Rodentia, Cricetidae. The record is from RefSeq and is a predicted model, not a curated record. The transcript has 2 exons.